This is a long non-coding RNA of Etheostoma spectabile (orangethroat darter), 81 nucleotides long. RefSeq lists it as uncharacterized. Lineage: Eukaryota; Metazoa; Chordata; Actinopteri; Perciformes; Percidae. The record is from RefSeq and is a predicted model, not a curated record. The transcript is spliced from 3 exons.
GCUACAGUUGUUAUUGUAAUAUGAAUGCAAGUUUAAAGGAGAAUUCUGGCCCAUUUUUACGUUAAUCUUCAUCACUAUAAU